GCCAGCGUUUCCGAGCGGUAUUGGCUUCUUUGUUAACCGUAAAGGAGGUGGCCUGCAGAGCCAUUUAUCAUGGGUUCAAUUUGAAUGUUACUCGCCUCGAGCAUUGAUGGAAUUCCCAUCGCUGGCU
RNAcentral lists this transfer RNA (127 nucleotides) under Promethearchaeota archaeon. Its description in RNAcentral is "Candidatus Lokiarchaeota archaeon (microbial mat metagenome) tRNA-Cys". The record is from RNAcentral. Lineage: Archaea; Promethearchaeati; Promethearchaeota.